This 459-nucleotide ribosomal RNA is filed under the name uncultured bacterium. Its description in RNAcentral is "partial 16S ribosomal RNA". It matches the Rfam family "Bacterial small subunit ribosomal RNA", at positions 338 to 795 of the family's 1533-position model. The record is from RNAcentral.
ACUACGGGUGGCAGCAGUGAGGACUAUUGGUCAAUGGUCGGGAGACUGAACCAGCCAAGCCGCGUGAGGGAGGCAGGUACAGAGUAUCGUACACCUCUUUUGUCAGUGAACAAAGACUGGGACGCGUCCCCGGAUGAGUGUACCUGAAGAAAAAGCAUCGGCUAACUCCGUGCCAGCUGCCGCGGUCAUACGGAGGAUGCGAGCGUUAUCCGGAUUUAUUUGGUUUAAAGGGUGCGCUGGCGUUCUGUUAAGUCAGCGUUCAAAGCCCGGGGCUCAACCCCGUCCCGCCGUUGAAACUGGCAGUCUCGAGUUGGAGAGAAGGAUGCGGAAUGCGCGGUGUAGCGGUGAAAUGCAUAGAUAUCGCGCAGAACUCCGAUUGCGAAGGCAGCAUGCCGGCUCCACACUGACGCUGAGGCACGAAAGCGUGGGUAUCGAACAGGAUUAGAUACCCCUGUAGUC